GAACAAUGAGAGGAGUAAGGUUGAGAAUUGAGUAUCCCCAUAAUCGCAAUAUCUUCAACUCUAUCUGCAACUCCAUAGAUUUCUCCUUCGUCGAUCACAAAAAUGGCGACGAAACUUCAAAUAUUCACAGGAUUACCCUCCGUUCCACUUCAAUCCUCUUCCUCUUCUUCUCUCAAGAAGCCUCUAACAUCUUCCUUCUUCGGCACUAGAACAGUGGACACUUCGAAAUUUAGAGUGAUGAGGAUUGCGAAACCGUUAAGAUCAUCUCGUGGAGGAGCUAUUGGUGCCGGAAUGAACCUAUUUGAUAGGUUUGCGAGGGUCGUGAAGUCAUACGCGAAUGCUAUUGUAAGUUCUUUUGAAGAUCCGGAGAAAAUUUUGGAGCAAGCUGUGCUAGAAAUGAACGAUGAUUUGACUAAAAUGCGUCAAGCUACAGCACAAGUAUUGGCAUCACAAAAACGGAUGGAAAAUAAAUACAAGGCUGCACAACAAGCAUCUGAAGAGUGGUACCGUAAAGCACAACUUGCUCUUCAGAAAGGUGAAGAAGAUCUUGCUCGUGAAGCACUUAAGCGGCGUAAAUCUUUUGCAGAUAAUGCCAGUGCUUUGAAAGCUCAACUUGAUCAGCAAAAGGGUGUUGUGGACAAUCUUGUCUCAAAUACACGGCUUUUGGAAAGUAAAAUACAGGAGGCAAGGUCAAAGAAGGAUACUCUAAAAGCAAGAGCUCAAUCUGCAAAGACUGCCACCAAGGUGAGUGAGAUGCUGGGAAAUGUCAAUACAAGCAGUGCUCUUUCAGCUUUCGAAAAAAUGGAAGAGAAAGUGAUGACAAUGGAGUCCCAAGCUGAAGCUCUGGGUCAGUUGACAAGUGACGAUCUUGAAGGGAAGUUUGCAUUGCUUGAGAGCUCAUCAGUUGAUGACGACCUUGCGAAUUUGAAGAAAGAAUUAUCUGGUAGCUCAAAGAAAGGAGAGCUUCCUCCUGGAAGAAGUAGCACCAAUACUGGAAAGUCAUUUCGAGAUGCUGAUAUUGAGAUGGAACUUGAGCAACUAAGACAGAGAGCAAAGGAGUUUUAAAAAACCGCAGGUUAUGGUUGCCUCCUGAGUUUGGUGUGAACAUCUUCAACUUGGAGCAAAGGUUAGCAACGCGACCAUAUCUCAACCCUGCAUGGACAUGGAAAGCAGAACUUGGAGCAAGAAGGAUACACUGGUAGUGGGAGGCUAAUUCUCCGAUUGAAAAUUUCGACGUGGCUACUCUUUAAAGACACCAGGAUAUGAGUAUUCAAGUCAUUAAUUGAAAUCUUCGAUAUUAACGUGUCAAAAUGAUCUAAAAUGAAUAAGUAGGUUUAAAGCAUAUUUGGGUAUACUCGUAUAUAAAUCAAUGCGGACUCCUAGAAGCAGUUUUGUUAGUCCCAAAUGAAAUGAAACUAGUUUAGUUGA
Molecule: RNA transcript, 1428 nt
Organism: Cicer arietinum (chickpea)
Lineage: Eukaryota; Viridiplantae; Streptophyta; Magnoliopsida; Fabales; Fabaceae
Gene name: membrane-associated protein VIPP1, chloroplastic
Source: RefSeq, a predicted model, not a curated record